CUACGGGAGGCAGCAGUGGGGAAUAUUGGACAAUGGGGGAAACCCUGAUCCAGCUAUGCCGCGUGAAUGAUGAAGGCCUUAGGGUUGUAAAGUUCUUUUAUAAGGGAAGAUGAUGACGGUACCUUAUGAAUAAGCACCGGCAAACUUCGUGCCAGCAGCCGCGGUAAUACGAAGGGUGCUAGCGUUGUUCGGAAUUACUGGGCGUAAAGCGCACGCAGGCGGCUAGAUCAGUCGGGUGUGAAAGCCCCGGGCUUAACCUGGGAACUGCAUCCGAUACUGUCUAGCUUGAGUACAGGAGAGGAGAGUGGAAUUCCACAUGUAGCGGUGAAAUGCGUAGAUAUGUGGAGGAACACCAAUGGCGAAGGCAGCUCUCUGGCCUGAUACUGACGCUGAGGUGCGAAAGCGUGGGGAGCAAACAGGAUUAGAUACCCCAGUAGUC
Molecule: ribosomal RNA, 439 nt
Filed under: uncultured bacterium
Lineage: Bacteria
Description: partial 16S ribosomal RNA
Rfam family: Bacterial small subunit ribosomal RNA
Source: RNAcentral